ACGGAGGGUGCGAACGUUAAUCGGAAUUACUGGGCGUAAAGCGCGCGUAGGCGGUUCGACAAGUGGGGUGUGAAAGCCCAGGGCUUAACCCUGGAACUGCAUUCCAAACUGUCGGGCUAGAGUAUGGUAGAGGGAGGUAGAAUUUCCUGUGUAGCGGUGAAAUGCGUAGAUAUAGGAAGGAAUACCGGUGGCGAAGGCGGCCUCCUGGACCAAUACUGACGCUGAGGUGCGAAAGCGUGGGGAGCAAACAGG
RNAcentral lists this ribosomal RNA (252 nucleotides) under uncultured bacterium. Its description in RNAcentral is "partial 16S ribosomal RNA". It matches the Rfam family "Bacterial small subunit ribosomal RNA", at positions 525 to 776 of the family's 1533-position model. The record is from RNAcentral.